GAGGAAAGAGGGAGGCGUGCUUAACACAUGCAAGUCGAACGGAAAGGCCCUGCUCUUGCUGGGUGCUCGUUUGGCGCACGGGUGUGUAACACGUGAGUAUCCUCCCCUUGUCUUUGUGAUAACUCCACGAAACUGGGGCUAAUACCGCAUAGGAUCUCCUGCUGCACGUUGGUGGUUGGAAAGUUUCGGCUGUGGGGUAUCGUCUCGCGGCUUAUCAGCUUGUUGGUGUGGUAGUUGCUUACCAAGGUUUUGACGGGUAGCCGGCCUGAGAGGGUUAACGGCCACAAUGGGACUGAGAGAGGGCGCAGACUGCUACGGGAGGCAGCAGUGGGGAAUAUUGCAGAAUGGGGGGGAGCGAGAUACAGAAACGCCGCGUGCGGGAUGACGGCCUUCGGGUUAUGAACCGAUUUGGCAUGUGACGAAGCGUGAGUGACGGUAAUGGAUAAAGAAGCAACGGCUAACUACGUG
RNAcentral lists this ribosomal RNA (468 nucleotides) under uncultured bacterium. Its description in RNAcentral is "partial 16S ribosomal RNA". It matches the Rfam family "Bacterial small subunit ribosomal RNA", at positions 38 to 507 of the family's 1533-position model. The record is from RNAcentral.